CCAAUAGCGUAUAUUAAAGUUGUUGCAGUUAAAAAGCUCGUAGUUGAAUUUCGGGAUCAAUAUAUCGGUCGUGCCUUGGUACGUACUGGUAUCAUUGGUUUCUCCUUUCUGACGAACCAUGAUGUCAUUAAUUUGGUGUUAUGGGAAGUUAGGACUGUUACUUUGAAAAAAUUAGAGUGUUUAAAGCAGGCUUUGGCUUGAAUACAUUAGCAUGGAAUAAUGAAAUAGGACGUUUGAUUCUAUUUUGUUGGUUUCUAGGAUCGACGUAAUGAUUAAUAGGGAUAGUUGGGGGGAUUAGUAUUCAAUUGUCAGAGGUGAAAUUCUUGGAUUUAUUGAAGACUAACUACUGCGAAAGCAUUUGCCAAGGAUGUUUUCAUUAAUCAAGAACGAAAGUUAGGGGAUCGAAGACGAUCAGAUACCGUCGUAGUCUUAACCAUAAACUAUGCCGACUAGGGAUCGGAUGAUGUUAAUUUUUUAAUGACUCAUUCGGCGCCUUACG
Molecule: unclassified non-coding RNA, 499 nt
Filed under: uncultured Glomus
Lineage: Eukaryota; Fungi; Glomeromycota; Glomeromycetes; Glomerales; Glomeraceae
Description: SSU rRNA
Rfam family: Eukaryotic small subunit ribosomal RNA
Source: RNAcentral